RNAcentral lists this ribosomal RNA (371 nucleotides) under uncultured organism. RNAcentral describes it as "bacterial SSU rRNA". It matches the Rfam family "Bacterial small subunit ribosomal RNA", at positions 526 to 896 of the family's 1533-position model. The record is from RNAcentral.
CGUAGGGCGCGAGCGUUAAUCGGAAUUACUGGGCGUAAAGCGUGCGCAGGCGGUUUGUUAAGAUAGGCGUGAAAUCCCCGGGCUCAACCUGGGAACUGCGCUUAUGACUGGCAAGCUAGAGUACGGCAGAGGGGGUGGAAUUCCACGUGUAGCAGUGAAAUGCGUAGAGAUGUGGAGGAACACCAAUGGCGAAGGCAGCCCCCUGGGUCGAUACUGACGCUCAUACACGAAAGCGUGGGUAGCAAACAGGAUUAGAUACCCUGGUAGUCCACGCCCUAAACGAUGUCAACUAGGUGUUGGAUGGGUAAAACCAUUUAGUACCGGAGCUAACGCGUGAAGUUGACCGCCUGGGGAGUACGGCCGCAAGGUUA